AAUGCUUUAUUGAUAUUCUGGCCACGGGGUACUGCUUCUCUAAUUCCCUGAAUUACUAUAGUUCUCAGGUCCUGCAUAUGAGUUCUAUGCAUCGGAUCCUGAUUAUCCCAAUUAGGUCUUUGAAGUGGCCAUUUAAUAUCUGCUUGGGGUCCCUGGGCAUGUUGAGCAUCCCACAGUCUCAUUCCUGCUCGUCUAAUCAUAUCUCUUUCCUCGGUAGUAAAUAAUUGACCAAGGAUAGAUUGCAUCUCAUCCCAAGUAUAAAGGUUUGGUCCCAAAAAUUGAUUUAAUCUUUCUGCCACUCCCAGUGGGUCCUCAAUUAAGUUUCCCAUUUCGGUUCUUUUAAAAUCUCGUAGGUCAGCCGAGUUUAGGGGUACGGAAAUAUAUCCGAUCACAGGUUGAGGUCCCCCCAUGGGUAUUUCCCUUAGGGGGUACAUCUGAGCUGCCCCUUUUUGACUUCUAGUUACGCGUCUAGGAAGAGGGGGAGACCCUUGUUCCGACUCCGGUGGGGGAGUGGGCGCUCUGGGGACUUCUGCGGGAGCAGGAGGAGGAAUGUAAGGAGGGGGGGUUAGAAGGGUUUCGUCUAACUCUUCCUUCUUUUUCUUUUGUUUAGUUUUUAUUUCAUUCAGCGGAUAAAGUCUAGCUCUCGGUCUUUCUAGCCACACUUCCGCAUAUUGACUCUCCUCCGGGUUAAGGGGAUUUUUAUUAUUAACCCAGAGGUUUAAUUGCUGUCUUACCCAAUCUUCUUCUGACCCAUAGACUGGCCAAAAGACAUUUUUAGAAAUCUUCUUCCCUCCCCAUAUCUUAGUACAAUAUUCUAUCAUUUUUUGCUUAUCUUUCCCUAGGGUUCCAGGGAAAUAUCUCCAAUUGUCUAAGAUAUAUGCCAGAGGGGUAUUUUUAGGUACAGUGUGUACCCUCCCCAUGGGAGUCGAAGGCUUGCUGCCCUUCGCCCCCAUCUUCUGGAUUAUCCACAAACACACACUCACUCGCUCCCCUUAUUCCUGGCCCAGUCCCUCGCGGGAGGUGGAAAACGCAGUACUAAAGGGUCCACACUCGCUUGGUUCAGUAUAUCGAACCUCUCAUUCGUUAUAAUCCAGGAUACCCAAUCCCGCCCGAACGGCGAACCCGCGAACAACUUCGCAGUAUACUUACGCGUCCUGCGUCUUCGUCCGGACUCCCGUGCACAGAAUUUUAUGGGAUUUUACCGGUCCUUUUUUUGCUCAAUAUCCUAGAAUUUAGGUUCGUCGGUAAGGUUGGAGUGAGCUGUUGGUCGCGGGGCCGCGAAAUGUCGCGGGGCGCCUCCCCGGAGGACCAAAGCCCACCGUUCCUUAUCCGAGUCACGGCACCAGAAAUUGUCAUAAAUUGUGACCACAACGGAUCAUAAUCCAAUUAAAAUUUUAUUAAUUAUAGCAAGUAGAAUAUGAGCAAAAACAGCGCUGGACGACAGGGGAGUCUGCGCUCCGCCACUGC
RNAcentral lists this long non-coding RNA (1467 nucleotides) under Strigops habroptila (Kakapo). RNAcentral's name for it is "lncRNA (ENSSHBG00005003207.1)". The record is from RNAcentral. Lineage: Eukaryota; Metazoa; Chordata; Aves; Psittaciformes; Psittacidae.